Long non-coding RNA from Hemibagrus wyckioides, 386 nucleotides. RefSeq lists it as uncharacterized. NCBI's taxonomy places the organism in Eukaryota, Metazoa, Chordata, Actinopteri, Siluriformes, Bagridae. The record is from RefSeq and is a predicted model, not a curated record. The transcript has 3 exons.
CAGUGUCGUCUCUCAGGAGCACCUGCAUACACUGGAAGAUUGUUGGUCCCUUCUGGAUCUCCGUACUGCAGCGCUCACAUACUCAGGAAAACAUUUAAUCAUUUCUAACUAUAGUGAAGCCCAGCGAUCUCCUUAUCUUACUCUCUGGGAUACACAGAAUGGCAGGGUGCAAAAGAGACUGAAAAACGAACCUGGGAUUUGUUGUGUGGCCAUUACAGACGAUGCCAGCAGAAUUGCCUUUGGCAUUGCAGUGUCUAAUAAAUUAAAAGUGUGGGAGCCUUUUAGGAGAAAGCACAAGACCAUCUUGGGAUAUCGGAGCCUGAAGCUGAGUGUGUCCAGCAAGCUUUACAUCACAAACGGAGGAACCAAAGCCAUUUUGCUAGCAG